UACGGGGGGGGCAAGCGUUGUUCGGAAUUACUGGGCGUAAAGGGUUCGUAGGUGGCCAACUAAGUCAGACGUGAAAUCCCUCAGCUUAACUGGGGAACUGCGUCUGAGACUGGAUGGCUUGAGUGCAGGAGAGGAACGCGGAAUUCCAGGUGUAGCGGUGAAAUGCGCAGAUAUCAGGAAGAACACCAAUGGCGAAGGCAGCUCUCUGGGACGGUACUGACGCUGAGACGCGAAAGCGUGGGGAGCGAACAGG
Molecule: ribosomal RNA, 253 nt
Filed under: uncultured bacterium
Lineage: Bacteria
Description: partial 16S ribosomal RNA
Rfam family: Bacterial small subunit ribosomal RNA
Source: RNAcentral